AUGAGAAAUAAUAUUUUUGAGAUAAAAGAGGGUCUACAGAUUUUACAAAAAUAAUUUUAAACACUUUUUUUAAGCCUAAAAAAGAAAAUGAAGAAUUAAGAAAACUUUUUGAGUUAAUAUCAUCACUGAAGUAUAAUGUGAAUGGAAUAAGAAAGAAAAAUGAUGAAUUAGAAGAAGAGGCAACUGGAUAUAAGAAACUCCUGGAAAUGACAAUAAAUAUGUUAAAUGUAUUUGGAAAUGAAGACUUUGAUUGCCAUGGAGACUUAAAAACAGAUCAACUGAAAAUGGAUAUUCUGAAUAAGAAGCUAAAACAGAAGUUUGAUGAUCUUACAGCAGAGAAGGAAGCUUUAUCUUCAAAAUGUGUCAAUUUGGCUAAAGACAAUCAAGUUCUUCAACAGGAGUUUUUAUCUAUGAAAAAAGUACAACAGGAAUGUGAAAAACUUGAGGAGGAUAAAAAGAUGUUGAAAGAAGAAAUAUUAAAUCUUAAGACACAUAUGGAAAACAAUAUGGUAGAACUUAGUAAACUACAAGAAUAUAAAUCGGAGCUAGAUGAAAAGGCAAUGCAGGCAGUAGAAAAAUUAGUAGAAAUCCACUUACAGGAACGAGCACAAUAUGAAAAACAAUUAGAGCAGUUAAACAAGGAUAAUAUGGCUUCACUAAAUAAGAAGGAACUCACACUUAAAGAUGUGGAAUGUAAAUUCUCAGAAAUGAAAACUGCUUAUGAAGAGGUUACAACCGAAUUAGAAGAAUAUAAGGAAGCCUUUGCAGCAGCAUUGAAAGAUAACAAUUCCAUGUCAAAAAAGUUAAUGAAAUCGAAUAAGAAAAUAGCAACGAUCAGCAUGGAGCUCCUUAUGGAGAAAGAGCGGAUGAAAUAUAUUCUCAGCACUCUUCCUACAAGGCGAGACCCAGAGUCACCUUGUGUUGAAAAUCUUACUAGUAUAGGACUCAACAGAAAAUAUGUUUUCCAAACACCCAUAAGAAUUCCUAUUUCAAGCCCACAGACUUCAAAUAACUUCAAGAACUCCUUGACUGCGAUGGAGCCGGACUAUGUAGAACAAAUAACUAGAGAAACAAAGAGAACUGUUGCUGUGUUGGACACUUGCUCCCAUCUACUUACUUCUCUAUAAUCCACUGCCAUGGAAUGAGUGAUUUUUCUUAGAAGCAGAGGUGGAGCCACUGAGGAAGCACAGGCGAGCCCUCCCCAGCACGUGCUCACUGGUCCCCAACAGAAGAACCGCUGCCGCCUCCAUGAGUCCCAUCAGAGCCCUAGAGCCCAAGAUGCAGCAUCCAAGGUUCCCUCCAGAAAUCCUGGUGGCUUGACUUAUUUUGUCAUGUUUCAUCUGAUAACGAAAAUAUCAUAUCAGCUGCACAGAAAAAUGGCUCAAAGUGCUUAAUGACUAGAAGAAAUCGAGGAGCAGCAAGAAGAUGUUUCAGCUGCUCUACAAGGGAGUCCCAUUUCAGGUGUGGGGCUGGGCAUGGUCACUCUGCUGGAUGUCUGGAAGGUGAAAACCAAGGACCUAGGGAAAUACCAGGUACAGCCUUUCCACCCUCAUCCAGAGCAGGACAAACAGGCCAGGUGGUAUCAGGAGCCCAGGUCUCCAGCUGGAAGGAAUGUCAACCCUGCAGUGGGAGCCCAUCACACAUCCUAGGCACAGAUGCUAAUGUAGGCACCGCGGAAGCACUGCUGACUGUUUGGUGGUUGCUGUUGGGGCAGUGAGCCUUUUGUCCAUUCUGAGAUUGGGCUGGUUUCUCCUCUUGGCCCUGCCCUACAGACCAUAAAGGAAAACAGCAAGAGGUCCCCAGCAAACAUCUACCGAUGGCCCUGGACAUCAGCCACAUUCUGAGAAACAUAUCAUGUUCUGGGAGGGCUAAGGCAUCAAGGCCUAUGACCUGGUGCACAACUUUAGACACCAUCAUCCUGGAGCAGCACCUCACCCUCACUAGCCGGGGUGUUGAUGACUUCCUCAAGGCUAAGGCCACAGUCAAGAUUUUGGACUUCAGUGAUGCAUUUUUGCUGAGCAAGGUGGGCUUCUCUGGGAUUUUAGUUCAGGAGGUAGAAUGCAGCUUGAGAUCAAGUGUCUGAUCAAAUAACUUGAACUUGAUCUGGAGAGCUCUGAGGAGCCAUAGAAGUUGUUGGAUAAAGGAGGGACAGUCGUAUAUGUUUUAGAGAUGACUGUGGAAGGCUGCCUGGAAGGAGUGAACAAGAGCCAGGAGACCAGGGAGGGAGCUUGUGGGGCAGGUCUGGAGAUGACAAGGGAGGGAUCCUGCUUGGAUGAAAGGUCUUCAGGGAAUGUCUCAGGUUACACUCAGGUGUCCUCAGAGCUAGUGUGUUCAGGGGUCUUGCCUCCAGGAUGAAAAUGAGAAGGAGUUGUCAGACAAGAACAUAUAAAUGAAGGCUGGCAUCUUCGUGAGUGCCAAUCGUUGUCCUGGUGUGGACUACUGUGGGAAUAGGGGUCUCUCCAUCCAGAGACAUGGUGGAUGGACCCUACAUCACUCCAUUCUGCCCUUCCUUUCCCUCCCAUUCUGAGGGCCUCAGUGCAUGGGCGCUGUCCAACCUCUGGUGCUGAAGCAGCCGAGAGACCCAAGCCUGCCACUCAGGAUAUGACAGCACAGCCAGUGGCCUCUACUGGAUCCUGUACAACCUCAGAAGACACCCAGACACUGGGAGUGCUGCCACCAUGUGGUGCAAGAGUUCUGAGGGACCGCAAUUCUGAAGACAUUGAAUGCUGCUUCAUGCUCCCUCCAUGGACCUGCACAGAAUUGUCCCAUGUUUCUGUUUGGGCACCACUGAGGAAGGAAGCAUGAAGGACGCAGAGCCAUUUUGCAGACCCUGGUCAGAAUGAAACAUUCCUUGGGAACUCGGGCCAUGAGAAGCAUCCUUCCUGACCACCUGACUGCGGAAACAUCCUUAUCGCAUCCUCCCGGGCGAAGGCCCAACAGCCUGACUGCAGGAACAUCCUUGCCAUAUCCUGCCGGGCAGCAAGCUCUACCGCCCAGACCCCUCCUUCCCAGUCCCAUGAUCGCCCCAGCCUGUGAGCGGCAGUUGGUGAUGGCACUAAGCUGGUUUCCUCCUCUGCAGGGUUUUGCUAGUAAUAAAGGUGUUGCUGUUGAAGCCACCAA
This is an RNA transcript of Pan troglodytes (chimpanzee), 3120 nucleotides long. It is a transcript of the gene named ankyrin repeat domain-containing protein 18A-like, with no coding region annotated. Lineage: Eukaryota; Metazoa; Chordata; Mammalia; Primates; Hominidae. The transcript has 14 exons. The record is from RefSeq and is a predicted model, not a curated record.